Molecule: ribosomal RNA, 429 nt
Filed under: uncultured bacterium
Lineage: Bacteria
Description: bacterial SSU rRNA
Rfam family: Bacterial small subunit ribosomal RNA
Source: RNAcentral
UGGGGAAUUUUGCGCAAUGGGCGAAAGCCUGACGCAGCAACGCCGCGUGGAGGAUGAAGGUCUUUGGAUUGUAAACUCCUGUCAGCGGGGAAAAAGGGAGGCGACCUAAUACGUCGCCGACUUGAUUGUACCCGCAGAGGAAGCCCCGGCUAACUCUGUGCCAGCAGCCGCGGUAAUACAGAGGGGGCAAGCGUUAUUCGGAAUUAUUGGGCGUAAAGGGCGCGUAGGCGGCUUUGCAAGUGGCGGGUGAAAUCCCUCGGCUUAACCGAGGAACUGCCUGCCAGACUGUGAGGCUCGAGACCGGGAGAGGUGAGUGGAAUUCCCAGUGUAGCGGUGAAAUGCGUAGAUAUUGGGAGGAACACCAGUGGCGAAGGCGGCUCACUGGACCGGAACUGACGCUGAGGCGCGAAAGCGUGGGGAGCAAACAGG